GACGAACGCUGGCGGCGUGCUUAACACAUGCAAGUCGAACGGAAAGGCCCUGCUUUUGUGGGCUGCUCGAGUGGCGAACGGGUGAGUAACACGUGAGUAACCUGCCCUUGACUUUGGGAUAACUUCAGGAAACUGGGGCUAAUACCGGAUAGGAGCUCCUGCUGCAUGGUGGGGGUUGGAAAGUUUCGGCGGUUGGGGAUGGACUCGCGGCUUAUCAGCUUGUUGGUGGGGUAGUGGCUUACCAGGGCUUUGACGGGUAGCCGGCCUGAGAGGGGGACCGGCCACAUGGGGAGUGAGAUAGGGCCCAGACCGCAACGGGGGAAAGGGGGGGGAAAUGGGACACAGGGGGCGGACGUCUGAAACAAAGACGCCGGGUGGGGGAUGGCGGCUUGCGGGUGAAAAACCGCUUGCGCCUGGAACGAAGGGGGAGUGACGGUAAGGAAUAAGAAAGCCCCGGCUAACUACGUG
RNAcentral lists this ribosomal RNA (468 nucleotides) under uncultured bacterium. RNAcentral's name for it is "partial 16S ribosomal RNA". It matches the Rfam family "Bacterial small subunit ribosomal RNA", at positions 28 to 507 of the family's 1533-position model. The record is from RNAcentral.